CCAGACUCCUACGGGAGGCAGCAGUGGGGAAUAUUGGGCAAUGGGCGCAAGCCUGACCCAGCAACGCCGCGUGAAGGAAGAAGGCUUUCGGGUUGUAAACUUCUUUUCUCAGGGACGAAGCAAGUGACGGUACCUGAGGAAUAAGCCACGGCUAACUACGUGCCAGCAGCCGCGGUAAUACGUAGGUGGCAAGCGUUAUCCGGAUUUACUGGGUGUAAAGGGCGUGUAGGCGGGACUGCAAGUCAGAUGUGAAACCCACGGGCUCAACCUGUGGCCUGCAUUUGAAACUGUAGUUCUUGAGUACAGGAGGGGCAGGCGGAAUUCCUAGUGUAGCGGUGAAAUGCGUAGAUAUUAGGAGGAACACCGGUGGCGAAGGCGGCCUGCUGGACUGUGACUGACGUUGAGGCCCGAAGGCGUGGGGAGCAAACAGGAUUAGAUACCCGAGUA
Molecule: ribosomal RNA, 447 nt
Filed under: uncultured bacterium
Lineage: Bacteria
Description: bacterial SSU rRNA
Rfam family: Bacterial small subunit ribosomal RNA
Source: RNAcentral